GAAUGAUGUGAUGAAGAGUUUUUCUUUGUGUAUUCGGUUUGAUUGCCGAAAUGAUGGCAUCGACCUUUGUAUUAGCUCUAUCUGAUCAUUC
This 91-nucleotide small nucleolar RNA is filed under the name Cephalotus follicularis. Its description in RNAcentral is "Small nucleolar RNA Z102/R77". It matches the Rfam family "Small nucleolar RNA Z102/R77". From Rfam's summary of the family: Z102 and R77 and are members of the C/D class of snoRNA which contain the C (UGAUGA) and D (CUGA) box motifs. The record is from Rfam by way of RNAcentral. Lineage: Eukaryota; Viridiplantae; Streptophyta; Magnoliopsida; Oxalidales; Cephalotaceae.